GUGCCAGCCGCCGCGGUAACACGGGGGGAACGAGCGUUGUUCGGAUUUACUGGGCGUAAAGGGUGCGUAGGCGGGUUGGCAAGUCGGGUGUGAAAUUCCAUAGCUUAACUAUGGACCUGCAUUCGAAACUGUUGAUCUUGAGUACUGGAGAGGUGAGUGGAAUUCUCGGUGUAGCGGUGAAAUGCGUAGAUAUCGAGAGGAACACCGUUGGCGAAGGCGGCUCACUGGACAGAUACUGACGCUGAGGCACGAAGGUCGGGGGAGCAAACAGGAUUAGAAACCCCCGUAGUCC
This 292-nucleotide ribosomal RNA is filed under the name uncultured bacterium. Its description in RNAcentral is "partial 16S ribosomal RNA". It matches the Rfam family "Bacterial small subunit ribosomal RNA", at positions 505 to 796 of the family's 1533-position model. The record is from RNAcentral.